GCUACACAUGCAAGUCGAGCGGUAGCACAGAGAGCUUGCUCUCGGGUGACGAGCGGCGGACGGGUGAGUAAUGUCUGGGAAACUGCCUGAUGGAGGGGGAUAACUACUGGAAACGGUAGCUAAUACCGCAUAACGUCGCAAGACCAAAGUGGGGGACCUUCGGGCCUCAUGCCAUCAGAUGUGCCCAGAUGGGAUUAGCUGGUAGGUGGGGUAACGGCUCACCUAGGCGACGAUCCCUAGCUGGUCUGAGAGGAUGACCAGCCACACUGGAACUGAGACACGGUCCAGACUCCUACGGGAGGCAGCAGUGGGGAAUAUUGCACAAUGGGCGCAAGCCUGAUGCAGCCAUGCCGCGUGUGUGAAGAAGGCCUUCGGGUUGUAAAGCACUUUCAGCGGGGAGGAAGGCGGUGAGGUUAAUAACCUCACCGAUUGACGUUACCCGCAAAAGAAGCACCGGCUAACUCCGUGCCAGCAGCCGCGGUAAUACGGAGGGUGCAAGCGUUAAUCGGAAUUACUGGGCGUAAAGCGCACGCAGGCGGUCUGUCAAGUCGGAUGUGAAAUCCCCGGGCUCAACCUGGGAACUGCAUUCGAAACUGGCAGGCUAGAGUCUUGUAGAGGGGGGUAGAAUUCCAGGUGUAGCGGUGAAAUGCGUAGAGAUCUGGAGGAAUACCGGUGGCGAAGGCGGCCCCCUGGACAAAGACUGACGCUCAGGUGCGAAAGCGUGGGGAGCAAACAGGAUUAGAUACCCUGGUAGUCCACGCUGUAAACGAUGUCGAUUUGGAGGUUGUGCCCUUGAGGCGUGGCUUCCGGAGCUAACGCGUUAAAUCGACCGUCCUGGAGGAGUACGGCCGCAAGGAUUAAAACUCAAUAUGAAUUUGACGGGGGGCCCGCA
Molecule: ribosomal RNA, 892 nt
Filed under: Klebsiella sp.
Lineage: Bacteria; Pseudomonadati; Pseudomonadota; Gammaproteobacteria; Enterobacterales; Enterobacteriaceae
Description: bacterial SSU rRNA
Rfam family: Bacterial small subunit ribosomal RNA
Source: RNAcentral